CGCCGGCUUCCCCGCGACGGCCAGCCGUGAACCCCGUCAGGCCCGGAAGGGAGCAGCGGUAACGGUGACGCCGGGUGCCGGGGAGUCGCUGGCGCGG
This is a non-coding RNA of Acidithiobacillales bacterium SG8_45, 97 nucleotides long. The record is from Rfam. NCBI's taxonomy places the organism in Bacteria, Pseudomonadati, Pseudomonadota, Acidithiobacillia, Acidithiobacillales.